This is a long non-coding RNA of Acanthochromis polyacanthus (spiny chromis), 556 nucleotides long. RefSeq lists it as uncharacterized. The record is from RefSeq and is a predicted model, not a curated record. NCBI's taxonomy places the organism in Eukaryota, Metazoa, Chordata, Actinopteri, Pomacentridae. The transcript has 4 exons.
UGUUGGGCAUCCUUUGUGUUGUCUCUGCAAUGAACCUGCAGUCAUUCGGUGCAGAGAUUGUCUUCCUGAGGAGUGGUUCUGUGGUGACUGUGAUAUACUGCAUCACAAAAAGCAGCCACUCCACAACCGGGAGUGCAUUAUUGAUGGUUUUUUUAAAGCCAUUCCUCCAAGUACGUGCAUCAUGAACCAGGGCGAUGGAUACUGCACCCACGAGCAAGCAUGUCUUUUGCCAGUUGGGAAGGCAUCGUGCUCUUCUUGCAAAGGCACAAAUAUUGUCACAUCACCAGGGAAACCAGCGAUUUUAAUUACCAUCAAUGGACGUUAUGACUUGCAUCAACCACUGCACUUCUGUGAAACAUGCCAGAGGCAGUGGGCUCCGGAACUGAAGGACCUCAUUAGGAGCGGUUAUUGGCCGGCCUCUCUUAGUGUGUAUACCUUGUACACUCUAGACCUUCUGAGCUCCUUUCAGGAAUUGAAGGUCAUUUCUCCUGGUUUUGCCAGACAGGUCUUUGCAAAAUUGCUGGAGCAUCGCACAAAGUGUGGAGGGAGAGUAAGU